UGGACGGAAUUUUCGUACCUUAUUUAGUGAAAAUAUUGUGUGUGAGAACGAGAGGAUGAUCAUCGCUCACCGAUAAGUCGGAGGUCGAAAGAAGCGGCAACGCUCUGAACAUCGGAAGAAGUAAUCAUUCCUCGCAUCGUUAAAGCGUGUAGCUGAAGAAACAACAAAUCUUUACUGCCACUCACCUCGUCUUGGGUGUAAAAACUAGCCAAUCUCUGAUUCCGCUGCGUUAUUGGGUCGUAGUCUAUGCUAUCACGGGGUGGAGAAUCGUCAGGACCAGUUACCGUAACUGGAAUCGGCGUAGGCGGUGUUGGCGGUAUUUGCAUUUGCAGACCACCAGUAGAAGACGCCAAACUCGAUCCAGAACUGGUGGCCAAUGAGCUGCUGGAGUCAUCUCUGAUCCCUGAGAAGAUUCCCGAACUUGCCCGCUCUGAAACACCCACUUUCCAACGGUUUUGCAUCCACGUACAGCCGCCGAUCGGGACCUGUCAGCGCGGCAACGACUUCUGAGAUUGCGGCGGCACCGGGUUAAGCGAAAAUACGCGCACCCACACUGACGAAAGUCGAAACACGCAAACCUUGGCGCCCACGCACACAACCGGCCAGUGCCUUGCCAUACUGCUUCGGGCGAGAUAGGCGAUCAUCGUGUGUGCGUGAAUUCUACAACCGCGAAAGCGACACGCAUGCACGAAGGCGCCGAUCUACAUACGAGCGUAUUCCAUGCACUGACGUCUAAACUGCAGGCGCCAUACGGAGGCCGAGGAAAUGUUU
Diprion similis is the source of this 771-nucleotide long non-coding RNA. RefSeq lists it as uncharacterized. The record is from RefSeq and is a predicted model, not a curated record. Lineage: Eukaryota; Metazoa; Arthropoda; Insecta; Hymenoptera; Diprionidae. The transcript has 4 exons.